AUUACCACUGGCAAGUUGGCAACACUAGUAUCCCGUCAUGGCUGAAAUGUUGACGAACUGUCAAUUUUAGUGAAAUUUUCUUAUUUUCGCCAUGCCCAGUAAUUUGUGAGUUGUGGUUUUCUAAUGGAUAGUGUUGAUUUUUUUUUUCUAUAAAUAAUUAUAUAUUUUCACGAUGAACGGGUUAAGUUUCAGUGAACUCUGUUGCCUGUUUUGUUGUCCGCCAUGCCCGGGGAAAAUCGCUGCUAAGCUCGCAUUCCUACCUCCAGAACCCACGUAUGCAUUCACACCCGACGAAGCGGGUUCCAAGUUCUCGCUGACACUGACUGAGCGGGCGGAAUGGCAGUACACGGAGCGAGAAAAGGAGAAUAUCGAAGGUUUCUACUCGCGGACGACGCGGGGCAACCGCAUCGCUUGCCUCUUUGUUCGCUGCAGCCCUAACGCACGCUUCACGAUACUGUUCUCGCACGGGAACGCCGUAGAUCUGGGACAAAUGAGUAGUUUUUAUUUAGGACUAGGCACUAGGAUAAAUUGUAAUAUAUUCAGUUACGACUACUCGGGCUACGGGGUGAGCGGCGGCAAGCCGUCGGAGAAGAACCUGUACGCGGACAUCGACGCGGCAUGGCAGGCACUGCGCACGCGCUUCGGCAUCAGCCCGGAGAACAUCAUUCUGUACGGGCAGAGCAUCGGCACCGUGCCCACUGUGGACCUGGCGGCGCGCUACGAGGUGGGCGCCGUGGUGCUACACUCGCCGCUCAUGUCGGGCAUGCGCGUCGCCUUCCCCAACACCAAGCGCACCUGGUUCUUCGACGCCUUCCCCAGUAUCGACAAAAUACCGAAAGUAAACUCUCCAGUGCUCGUGAUCCACGGGACCGAGGACGAGGUGAUCGACUUCUCGCACGGGCUCGCCAUCUACGAGCGCUGUCCACGCGCCGUCGAGCCGCUCUGGGUCGAGGGCGCCGGCCACAACGACGUGGAACUGUUCAACCAAUACCUGGAGAGACUGAAACGGUUCGUCUCCGUCGAGCUGCUCAACUGACAAAGACUGCCGGCCGCGGGCCAGACUACUCAAGGUGCGUCACCGUAGUUGAAGGAGAUCACAGUAUCUAUGGAGAUGGAGAAGGUUCGUCUCCGUCGAGCUGUUCAACUGACAAAGACUGCCGGCCGCGGGCCAGACUACUCAAGGUGACGACCAAAAUCCAGCAUCGACCCUCAGCUCCGGCACCACCAGCUCGGCCACCGAGAGACUCCUCUAGCUAGCGGGGGCCGGGCCCAGCCGGGCCGGCCCCGUCAAAAACUGCACCCCCUCCGCGCGGGAGCCCGCCUCGCCCGCCGCGCCGCCCGCGCCACCCGCGCCGCCCGCGCCGCGCAUCAGCGUCAGCGCCGCCGACGACUCGCCCGCCGACCGGCGCCGCCGCGUGCACCUGCGCUCGCUCAGCGACGUCACGCCCGCCUCGGCCGCGCUCGCGCCCCGCGCCCGCUCCCACUCGGAGCGGCCGCGUGCCUCCCCCUCGCCCUCCCCCUCCCGCCUGCCAGCCCC
Molecule: RNA transcript, 1537 nt
Organism: Cydia pomonella (codling moth)
Lineage: Eukaryota; Metazoa; Arthropoda; Insecta; Lepidoptera; Tortricidae
Gene name: alpha/beta hydrolase domain-containing protein 17B
Exons: 4
Source: RefSeq, a predicted model, not a curated record